This 15408-nucleotide long non-coding RNA is filed under the name Nicotiana tabacum (common tobacco). RNAcentral describes it as "long non-coding RNA (NTAB_LNC015841)". Lineage: Eukaryota; Viridiplantae; Streptophyta; Magnoliopsida; Solanales; Solanaceae. The record is from RNAcentral.
AAGACAAAAAAAAGUACUUAUUUAAAUCACAAAAUAGACAUGGGAAUUGAUCCGGUAACCUCACUUGUAAAGGUGCACUCAAUACCUGUUUGUACCAUAAGAUUUCUUUAGUUUAGAUAUAUUUAAAUAAUUUUGGAGAAAUAAAAUAUUGUUAUACAUGUUCUCGGAAUAGGAGCAUGGAUUUACGUGCACCCCAAACUUUGGAUACGAUUUUGUAUGAAAUAUAUUAUUUGGGUAAAACAGUACACUUAACAUCGUAUGAUAUUGUCCGAUUUGGGUCAAGCCCGCACUGUUUUUUUUCAAAAUGCCUCGCACCAUUAAGAGAUCCCUACGCUUUAUAAGUACAGCAGUUGUGUAUGCGUCUUUGAAGUUACGGGUGCAAUCCACAUGAUCCGAGUAUUUAUAGUGACCGAAGCCCAUGCGUAUUUGAAGCUACAGGUAAAGGUAGUAAACCGGCUCAUAGACAGGCAAAGGCACUAAACCGACCCCCCACGCAACACUCUGCUAUCUCCAUACUUGUUCCGUCAAACCAUAGGCUCUGAUAUUAGCUAUUGGGCUGAAUCGACCUAAAGAUACUCUUAACAUGGUGUGAUAUUAUCUGUUUUGUACUAAGUCCGCACGGUUUUCCUCUGUGAUGACCCGAUAGAUCAUUUACAGUUUUAACCUUAAAUUCUAUUUUUUGAAACCUCGAUUAGAUCCGUUUAGCCUUCUUCGAUUUACGUGCAAAGUCUGUGUCUUUUUCCGAAAGGUUUUUACUUGAAAAUUUGAUAAAAUGUGAAAUCGUGCCCUAAAACUCAUUUGAGUUGAUUUCGGUCAACGUUUUAAGCAAACGAACCCGGAUCAAUAUUUUUACGAUUUCGGUGGGUCCGUAUCGUUAUUUGAGACUUGGGCGUAUACCUGGAAUCGAACUUGAAAGUCCCUAACUCGAAUUAUCGCAAUUUAUGGAAAACUAGAGGCUUAAGGGUUUAAAGAAUUAAUAAAUUCGACCGAAAUUUGACUUUGUUGCUACCGGGUCCGAAUUUUGAUUCCGAGACUUGGUAUAGGUUUAUUACUGUAUUCAUGACAUGUCUGCAAAUUUUGUUCAAAACGGAGUUAAUUUGACAUAAUUCGGAUAUCCGCUUGAAAUAUUUAAAGUUCUUAAGCUUCAUUGAAAAUUUCAUUCGUUUUGGUGUCUGUUUCGUAGUUUCAGGUAUUAUUUUGACACUUUGAUUGCGCGAGCAAGUUCGCAUGAUGUUAUAGGACUUGUGUGCAUGUUUGGUUGGGAGUCCCGAGGGCUCGGGUGAGUUUUGGAUAGGUUUCGAAGUGAUUUUGGAUUUAGGAAAAAUAACCGGUGCAUCUGGUUCUGAUGCAAGUCUCUCAUCUUGCAAUUGUGAGGCCAGUGUUCGCAUUUGCAAACAUUCAAAUUCCUGUUAGGUAAGUAUUUGCGAACUAAUUCUUCGUAUUUACGAAUAGGGGAUGGGUAAGCAAUAGAUCGCAUUUGCGAUCAAAAGGUCGCAUUUGCAGAGUCCCAGAGUUCGCAUUUGCGAACAAAUCAUCGCAAAUGCGAUGAUAGCAGAUAUGUGAGAUUCUUCACAUUUGCGGGAUUUACAAUUGCGAUAUCUGCGCCUAGACAAAAGUUCAGAAAAAUGAGAUUUUGGCUCAUUCUAUAAAAUUCUCAACCCUAAACACUUUAGAGAUGAUUUUCCCAAGAGCUUGUCUUCCUAAAUGCAUUGGUAAGUGACUCUAAUCUACUUUCUUUCAAUUACCCAUAACAUUUCAUAAGAUUUCAACCUUAAAUCUAGAAAUCCAUGGUAGAAAUUAGAGAUUUGGGUAGAAUUUGAAAUUUUUGUAAAAUUAGAAUUUAGAUCUUGAACUAAGGUCGGAUUUCGAAUUGAACUACAUAACCGGAUUCGGGGGUGAAUGGGUGAUCAAGUUUUGGUCUAAACCUCGAGUUUAGACAAAGCAAGUUCGGGGGUUGACUUUUGUUGACUUUUUCAAUAAUGAUCUAAAUGAACCUCUUGCAUUUGUGGCUAGUUUCUAAUGCUUAUUUUGAAUCAUUUGGUUGAUUAUUUGCUAGAUUUGGUUGGUUCGGAGGCUUGUUCGAAAGGCAAGGCCAUAGUUGAACUUUGAAUUGGUUGCGGAGCGAGGUAAGUGUCAUGGUUAAUCUUGACUUGAGGGAUUAAGACUUGUUUAUCUAUUUGCUACUUGUUUAAUGUGUGGGUACAACGUAUAUGUGAGGUGACGGAUAAUUAUGCGUUGUUGUUGGGUUAAAACAUGCGGGUAAAACUUGUUUCCUUGUUAUUUAUUGCCUCUUUAAUUAUGACAUUCAUGCUUAGAUUAAAUUAUUGCUUAUUUGAUCGUUGUUUCCAGAUUGAUGGAAUAAUUGGUAAUGGUUGAGUAUGUGGAAGUUGAGGUUUGGUAUCUUAGAAUCAUAAUUGACGUAAAGUACAUCCCUUGCAUUAUUUAUUUAUCAAAUUUGUGCAUUCAUCACGACAUGGUAAGGGAGAGUGUCAAAGCACGAAGGGUGAUGUCGUGCCAUUUCAUUACCUUAAUUAAUGAUUAAUACAUGGUAAGGAAGAGAGUUAAAGCCCGAAGGGUGAUGUCGUGCCAAUCUGUAUCAGUUAUUCAUUGUUACAUGGUCAGGACGAGAGUAAAAGCACGAAUGGUGAUCCCGUGCCAUUUCAUUUCUCUUAUGACAUCAGUUUAUGGUAAGGAUGAGAGUAAAGAACUAAGGGUGAUGUCGUACCAUUUUCAUAUCGUAUGUUAUUUGUCCUCUUUGGUUGAUGAUUUAUUUGACCAUCUGUGUUAUCCUUCUUGUUGUAUUUAUCGUAUCUUUUUUUCCCCUUUCGCAUGUCCCCUCCCAACUAUACAUAUUAAGUCUCCAUUUUGUUGACGUUUGGUACAUAAAUCUAUGUUUGUACAAGUUUAAUUAUGUGAAUGUCCUUUCAUAGCCGUGUCACUACCUCGUCAAGGUUAGGCUCGAUACUUACGGAGUACAUUGGGUUGGUUGUACUCAUACUACACUCUGCACUUCUUGUGCAGAUUUUGGUAUUAGACCUAGCUAUAAGUGAAGUGAACUAGCUCGGAUUAUUAUUCAGAGAGUUGAGGUAGAUCUGCCGACGUCCGCAGACCUUGAAGUCCCCUUCCUCUUUCCUCCUUUACUGUUCAUUUUAUUCGAAAUAAUUGUAUUUAUUUCAGAUUUGUAGAACUUUUAGGAGCUCAUGCACUUGUGACACCAUAUUCGGACUGUAUUAGAUUUUUCACUAUUUUUAUGGUUUUUCCCGCACCUUACUUCAACCUAUUUAUUUCAGUCUUAUUUUGGGGUUUUUUAUAUUAUUAUUUUAAUUUGGAAAUGGUUAAAAUGGGGGAUAAACUAUUCUAACAUUGACUUACNNNNNNNNNNNNNNNNNNNNNNNNNAAGAGACAGAGCUCGGCCUAGAGCUCGAGCAGCACCACCAACAGUGGAGCCUCAGGUAGAUUUUGAUGGGGAGGUCCCAGCUCAGGUUGUACAUGUUGGACCAACUCAGGUCCCGGAGGGGUUCAUAGCCACUCCAGUGCUUUCGGAUGCUCUGGUCCGUUUGGUGGGCAUUAUGGAGCGUGUGGCCCAAAUCGGUACUUUCCCGGUGGCACCGGCCGUCUCUCGGGCUGGGGGAGGAGCACAAACUCCCGCUACUUACACUCUGGAGCAGGUGGGUCCCCAGUUUCUGACUCCUGCAGCACUGCCGGUUAGGGAAGUUCAGCCGGUUGUUAUGGCACAGGCUGGUGAUAGGCCUGCUUUAUCUUCUGAGGCUAUGUUGAGGUUAGAUAAGUUCACCAAGCUCUUUCUUGUUCAUUUUAGUGGUGCAUCUUCUAAGGACCUACAGGAUUUUCUAGACCAUUGCCAUGAGGUGCUGCGGAACAUGGGUAUAGUUGAGACCAAUGGGGUCGAUUUUGUAGUAUUUCAAUGCGCGGCCUGAUAGGAUGGCAAAAACCUGCAUUUAAUUUAAUAUAUAAAAUGUCAUUAGAUUCAUUAUAUGCAAAAUUUCAUUGAAAGUUUUUAAAAAGAAAUUGAAGGAAAACUCACUCGUUGCCAUGGGGAACGAUAACCAGCCGAUGAAGAUGAUCGUAUUGUACAGUCCCUCCAGUAUACUGUCUCACGGUACCAGCAACUGUAGAAGUACUGGUAGAUGGGGAUGCGGCUGCGUGAGAUCCUCCAAUAUCCAAUUUAGAUAUACUUGGAGUGGAUGAUGCUGGAGAUGAUAAUUGAGUGGGGGAUGUAUGAGGAACAAAAGAUGAACCACAAUGCUAGCGAUGUAUUUAGUUUAUUUAAAGUAAUUAAUAGGUUACGCCAAUUCGAAGGUUCAAUUUUUUAACGUAUUAUAUUCUUUUAAAUUAAAAUUCAUUAACACUCCAAAUCUUAUAUUUAUCCCUAUUUUAUGUUAUAUAAAUUUUUCAAAAUAUAAAUUAAAUUUAAAUAGCUUCUUAUACGUUCAUAAAGACCACACAUGGCCAAUAAUUUGUCAAAUCUAUAAAUUCCUUUAAUGUAGCAAUUAUUAAGUUUUAAAUUUAAUAUUGUCCAUUUAAUAAAUUAGGAAGCGAUAAUAAGCUUAACUUCUUAAACUUAAAACUAAGGCUUUAAAUUAUAACUACUUGAUAUAAUUCUAAAUCAUUCUUCUCUAAAGUUAACAAUUCCGCAUAUACAUAAACUUCGGAAUUGUUAAAAUCACAUAUAGGUACUAACCUCAAUUUCAAAAGUGAAUUUAGUUUCAAACUUAAAUAUUAUUACAUCUAUGACAAUUCUAAAAAUAAAUCUAUGGCAAUUCUAAAUAAACAUCUAUGAAAAUUCUAAACUAGUAUCAAAUUUAAUUGAAUUAGAGAACUAAAAAGUAUCUAAAACUUGUAGGCAAGAUUUCUAAUGUAAAUUCUUGAAAUGUGAUUUUCUAUGAAUUCCUAAUGUGAUUUUCAUGAUGUAUUUUCAACAAAAAAAUUAGAUUCCUAAAUAAAUUCUAAAAUACUAUAGUCUUCUAUAACAAGAUGGGGACGACAGUGGGAGUGGGGGCGGGGUUGGGUAAAAUGAAGGGGUGAGGGAAGGGGGUUGAUAUAGGGGAUGGGUUUAACAAAAAGGAGGGCCGGGGAAGAAGAGGGAAGAAGUCAAGUACCUUUUCCGGCAAGCAACGGGCUGGGGGGUCUGGGGCUCUCAAUGGAGGAAGAAGAGAGAAGAAAGAAAGAAAAGAGAAGAAUAAAGAAAUGGGGGCGGGACUGGAGUUUUAAAAACGAUCUGUGACUGAUUUCAUCGCAAAACUAGCGACCGUUUCAGUCGCAACUUAAAAAAAUAAUUUGAUCACAGUUUAAAAAGAUAUCGACCGAAACGUACGCAAAUGGUCAAAUAAAAUUAUUUGACUUUAAAUUUCUGAAUCAAUCUGUCGUAAUUGUUUAUCCCAGAUUUUUGCACUAAACGUUGCAACCAAUGAUGUCGGAAAAAUAGUCGAAAGAAUUUAGAAAAAAUAUAACAAAUAUUAUUUUUGAAAAUUCCGACCGAAUCAGUCAGAAAUUUCCGACUAAUUUUUCUGGUCAGAAAUUUUCAGUCGCAAAUGAGUUAUCUUUUAGUAGUGUUCAUGCUAAUAUAGUAAGAAGUUGUUUCACAUUGAAACUAAAAUUUCAUGCUAAUGCAUGCUAAAGUUAUUUAUCCUGCAAUCUACAGUUUUGUCACGAAUUUUAUACGAAACUUCAUUCUAAACAUGUUAAAGUUAUUUAGUUCUUUUGCUAAAAUUUCAAACUAAACAUGCUUAAGUUUUUUAGUUCAUUUGCUAAAAGUUCAGACUAAACAUGUUUAAGUUAUUUAGUUCAUUUGCUAAAAUUGUAGACUAAACAUGCUUAAGUUAUUUAAUUCAUUUGCUAAAAUUUUAGACUAUAUAUGCUCAAGUUAUUUAGUUCAUUUACUAAAACUACAGACUAAACAUGCUUAAAGUUUUGUCUUGCAGUAUGUAAUUUUCUAAUGAGUUUUUGCUAACGCAUGCUGAACUUAUUUAGUUCAUUUGCUAAAAUUUCAAACUAAACAUGCUUAAAUUUUUUUAGUUCAUUUGCUAAAAUAUCAGACUAAACAUGCUUAAAUUAUUUAGUUCAUUUGCUAAAAUUUCAGAUUAAACAUGCUUAAAUUUUUGUCUUGUAGUAUGUAAUUUUCUAAUGAGUUUUUGCUAAUGCAUGCUGAAGUUAUUUAGUUCAUUUGACUAAAACUUUAUACCAAAACAUGCUGAAANCAAGCUGAAGUUUUUUUGUUCAUUUGCUAAAAUUUCAGACUAAACUUGCUUAAGUUUUUGUCUUGCAGUAUGUAAUUUUCUAAUUAUUUUUUUCUAAUGCAUGCUGAAGUUAUUUAGUUCAUUUGCUAAAGUUUCAUAUCAAAACAUGCUGAAAUUUUGCCCUGCAGUCUACAACAGAUACCUUUGACCCGCUUCAGAAUAGUAACACACGUGGCAAGUAUACAUGAACAUGAAAGCAAAUAUCACAGCGUGAGAUUCACAUAUGGGGAGUAUGCAACCAAACGAUCGUUGGGAUUUUCAAUAAUUAUAGGCUGAACUGAUUUUACUUAGACCACGAGAAAGGGCGAAUUUAGAAAUUUAAAAAGAUGAUUGCACUAUCACGAAGAUCAAAGAGGCGAAUUUAGAUUUUAAAUUUGACGGGUUUAACCUUUAGCUAACUUCGUACUAUUAAACCCAUUUCAAUUUUCUCUCCCAGAUAACCAUUUGAAAUUUUUUCUCCUUCAUUCAUCGAACAAAUCUCUGAAAAUAGGCAAACUCUCCGUACCUGUCAUAGAAGGGCGGUGUUACCGAUUCCCCCCUAUUGCAACCCCUAAUUCUGAUAUGUAAGUCGCUCCUAAUACCAUCUUCAUCAUUGAUUACGUCGCAACAUUGUCGUCGUGGUGCCUGUUCUUUUAUACAAUGGGUUCACCUUAAUUAGAUAUUUCAUAAACCAAAAUUGGUCUAUAUUUUUUAAGUGGAAAGUUUUGUACAUGUAUAGUCAUCAAUUUUAUGACAGUAAAAUUAAUAAGAAAGAUUUUAUGGAAAUAAAUAAAUUAAUCUGUCCUCUAUACUGUAUCAUUUUAUUUGGACUCAAUUUACCGUUAACAUAAAAUGUAUAAGAUCACAAGUUUUAAAAUUGAUCUUUAUUUUUUUGUAACUUUGUACCCUAGUCAAAUAUGAUUCACAUAAAAAUUACAAAUGGUAGAAGUUUACCUGUCUCCAAACUUGGGGAGGUAGAAUAGUAGUUGUGACAUUAACCAUAUGAAUUGCUAAUGCUGGUCUGUAAUUUUGGUUCUCGCAUUGCUUGUUAAUACCAGCAAUGGUACUAUAACUGGUCAAGGUUUCAUCAUUUUGAAGGUCAACAACUUGAUCCAAGUAGUACUCUAUAGGCCUUUUACAUGGUUCUACAUUGUUUGGCUGUGUACUGAAUGUGAAUGGUUCUUCAAACCCUUUCCAUGUCUUGAACGUUUGCAUUGGCAUCUCCAAUUCUCUUGCAUUCAUCAGCCAUGGAUAUAAUUGAAUUGAAUAUCCCCACGACACUGAUAAUGACCAGUUUAUCUUUAGUUCAUAGCACAAACUAUGUUUCAUCGUCCGACUUGGAUCCUUAUUGUAAGCCUCAAUCACUUUUUUCACUGACUCAAAUUUGCUCAUUGAUGGAAUAAGAGGAUGUAACAAGUACACAUCCAAAUGGUGCAGUGAGACAAGUGGCGCCACGGGAUGUGCUGCCAAAAGCCCUCGUGGAUUUCCUUGUAUAUCCAUCUUAAAACAAACAAGUGUAAAAUGGUAAAAUAAGAAAUUUAAAGUACAAUAAUGUCUUUAAAUAUAAAAAUAUAUUAUUUUCUUGGACAAAUAAAAAAGUAUGUCGCAUAAAAUGUGAUAAAUGAAGUAUUUGACAACUAUAUAUGUAUAAAAUUACUAUAAAUCAAAUUAUUUUAGAAUAAAAAAUACCUAAAAUAUUCGUUAAAAUUAUAGAGUAAUAAAAAUAAAUUGUUUGGCUCUCUAAAUAAUAAUGGUAUCAUAUAAAAGUGUUGGUUUUGAAUUUUUUUAAAGCAGAUUUUAACUUUUUUUGAAGCUCUUUUUUUAAUAAACCAGCUUUUAAGCUCAUCCAGGCUCAAAAGCUCUAUAAGAUGACACAUAGAGAUUAUAAUUGGUAAAAUUGCCCUUAUAAUGUUACUAUACUACUUUAAGUAAAAUUUAAGGUUUUAAAGAUUGUAUACCUGAUGAAAACCGGGUUCUUUCGUGAGAGAAACGCCAAUCUCAACCAUACAGCGUCUUCUGAUCAGAAGCGUACAUGUAAUGGUAGCGAUUAUACAACCAUCUAAAAUCUUCACUAACUCCUCCCCGAGAGGAUAGCUAAUAGCAAUGCCGCCGCCACCGAAUGCCUGACUAUAUGAACCUAAUACGUUUAUCUCCACACUUUCGGAAAUCCCACCAAUGUAAUACAUAUGGUUGUGAUCAUAUUUAGUCAAAACUGUCACUAAAUUCUUUGUAAAAAAACACAGUAUCAUCAUCUCCCAUUACGAAUCACCUCACAUUCUUUAAACCUAGUUCAAAGCUCUCCUUUAGAAUCCUCGCAAUCCUCACAGCUGACUUGUCACCAAACCAACAUGUAUAUUUGAAUUUGGAAGUGUUUUGGGAAAUCCUAUAGGGUGGGAAAUUAUCCGGCCAUGGCUCGUUUUCAUGGGGAUUUUCAUCGAGCCACACGAACCCUCGCGUUACAUUUGGUCUCCACCAGAACUCGAGUAACGCGAGCAAUUGUUCCAUGUUUUAGCUGACCCUCCAAUGCCAAAGAGGAUGUGGGAUAUGUUCGUUACUUCUUCUUCUUUGCUGAUAAUUUCUAGUUUAUUUGUAACCGCAGUAGCACUAUAAGCAUAUUUGUUAAAGAGAUGAGCCUUGGAGAUUAGAUAAAUGGAGGCCACUAAGCAGAACGCAAUUAGAAAGCUCCUGAUAAUGAAAAUGGUGCAAAGUUUUGGGACUAAUUUCUGGUUAUUAGGGAAAGGGACGUAACGUUUCCGGAGAGACAUCUCCUUCAUUUUGUAAAGAUUAAUUAUGACUCUUUGUUCAAUGGAUAAUGGUCUUCUACUUAAAACCUAUUGAACUAAAGGCGUGCAUCUUAUUUCUUGCUGCUUGAUUUCCUACGUAGUUAUGGAAUUUGUUUUUUUUUAAAUCAAAUUUUAUACUUAUGUUUCAUUUUGAACUAUAUUGAUGUACACAGUGUAAUAAAAUUUACACGUAUCAUAUUUACUUGUUGAAAUUUGCCUUACUUCAAAAUUAUAAAUUUUACUUUUUUAUGAAAAGAUUUUUCUAAAUAUCAUUUGAGGGACCUAAUAGUACAUAAGUUAAACUCGUAAUCCCUUUGUCUCAAUUUAUACGUCAGAAUUUGAAUUUCGGGAGUCAAACUUCUUAAUUUUAAGUAUAAAUUCAAAUAUAAAAUUUGUAAGUUUUUAAAAAUAUAAGUACUAUAAGUUACACGAAGAAAGUUAUACUAUUUUUACUUGGAUGAAUAAAAUUAUUAUCUGGGAGACGGAGGACUGUAGUGGACAACUAUUCAAAUCUCAAGGAAUGACUUUGUGUCAUGCAAUUCGAGCUAAACUGAAAUCAUUAUUUUCAUUGGGCGAUUUAUCGGUCCCUAAUUUACAAAAGAAGGUUGAACUAAUCCAUAGGGUAGCCAUGUUGCAGUGGAGCCAUUUUGGGUCACCCCCUUCAAUAAAUAAAAUGGAUGAGUUAGAUAAUCCAUGCAACUUUUGAAGUUUUCAUUGAGAUUUGAACUUUGGAUCAAUAUCUACAAUAAUUAAGUUAUUAUCACUUAGUUAUUUAUACAUUUAGACGAGUACAUAGAUCUUGUAGAAGCAAUAAUCUAUUUGAAAAAGUGCGUACGCUAUGAUUAAGAUUCACGGCAAUGGGCUUAAUAUACAUCUUUAAUAUCAGGCCCCAAUUUAAAACUCUGUUGCCAAUUAUACUUGUUAUAUAACACAUUGUACUUGUAUUAUAUAAAAAAGGCCAAAUACAUAUGUAGCCCCUUAAAGUUGUCAUCAAUUUUUACUUAGACACAAAUUGUUACCUAUUAGACACUUAAAGUAUGUCAAAACUAUUCCUAUUGAACACUUCAUGCAUAUAUGGCACAAGAAGUGAUUCUCACUUUGAGCUAGGCGCGUGAAUUACUGAAUCUUUCUCUUUCUCUCUUUUCUUAUUUCUUCUUUAACAAGACCCAGCCAUCAUCUUCUUCUUUUCAUGACUACUCUACUGCUAUGAAUAGAAAUAACAUAAAAAUAGACAACAAAAAGAAAUAAUAAAGAAAUAGAGAAAGAUGAAUUCUGACUUAUUAUUCUCUUGCUCUAAGAAUGAAAAGAUUAGAAAGUUUGCUUAAUUUUAUUUAUUUAUUUAUUUAUUUAUUUAUUUUUAAGCUAAUAAAAAGUUUGCUUUAUUGAUUUUCCAUUAUAGCCAUUUCGGUACGGAGAAAAUGGAGAUGAGUUACUUGAUUCCUUUAGCUCUUUUUAUUAUGGUCUGUGAUGAAUUCUCUUGCCGUAUUUUUGGAUGAAAAAGACAAAGCUAUCAAAAUAUUUUUUGGGCAUUGAUCUGAAACUCAAAAUGUGUUCUUUCGUUGUCCCCACCAUCUAGGUUCGCCGGAAACCACUAGUUGGGUUAAUGGUAGGAGAAGCCGUAUUUGGGUUUGACUUCAUAUCUUCUUGGUGGGAAAUGUUUCUUGCUAUUUUGUUUAUUUUUCUAAAAGACUGUAGUAUUUCUCUAAGAAAAUGAGAAUGCUAACAUCAAAACAUAAAUAAACUUGCCGGUUUCAACGGGAGAGAUGAGUUGUUCAUCCGAGGAGAAAGCAGUAUCCUAAGAAAGAAGAUGACAGUAAGAAAAGUCACGGAAAUUUUUUUCUUUUUUGGCAUUAUUUAAAUUUCUGACAUGACUCUUAUUUUUUGGCUGAUUUGUAAUCUCUUAAUUGAUUUGAUUUGACAUGUCAAAAGAGUCCUCGUGAAGUGAAAUGCACGUACUUAUGUUGGUUUGGAGUUAUCAAAUUUGUGUUUAAUAGGUAAGACUUUCGGUUGAAGUGUCUAGUUGAUAUUUCGUGACAACUUUAAGGGACUAUGUAUAUAUUUGGCCUAUAGAUAUAUGUUUCAAAUAAAUUGGUCAUCUAUACAUUGAACAUCUCUGUUUUUCAUAACUACAACAACAAUAUUCAUAAUGUAGUCAUGAAAAGAUUCUUGUUUAGAGAAGAAUUUAUUCUCUCAGUUAGUUUUAUUAAUAUUAGUAGAUUUAUUUAGGUCAAUUGACUAAAUCAUAUUAAUAUAGUAUGUUUUUUUAGUAUACUUUCUUUGUUGUCUAAUUUAUUGUCCAUCAAAUUUUAUAUUAUUAGUUUCCGUCACUAUAUUAUUUCGAUCCCAACAAGUGAUAUGGGCAUGCAUGGCAGAAUCAAUACUUGAACACGGCAUAGAAAUGGGCCAUGCAUCUAUGUGAACUUAGAAUUUUGCAAGAAAUUAAACUUGUGGUUACAAGAGAGAAAAUAAAUUAAAACUCAGUCGUAUAUCUAUGUGCUGGUUAUCAGACGUUGCAGUUUGUCCUCUUUUCUACUUUCCAGCAACCACAAACAAACAGGAUACAUAUAACUCUCAGUUUGCUUAUGUCUGCUCUUACAUCACCUUAUUUGUCUAUGAAACUGAAAUUACCACCAUAUUGGAUGCUCCCUCUUCAAUUCACAAACAAUAUUUGAAAUAAAAACAAAGAUUUUAACAUAAAAAACACUUAUUAAUCAUAAUGAGUAAAAAUAGUAUAUACUCCAUCACUAAAAUAAGAAAUUUCGAAAGUCUUCCGGGGAGGAGAUAGUGUGACGCAAGAGGUUCACCCGAAUCUUUUUCGCCGGAAAAUUACGUGUAUAUAAAAAGUUAAAGUGUAUAUAUAAACUAAAUCACUUUGCUUCUUGCCCGUAAAAUAUCCAAAUGACCAUACACUUCAAUAUAUUAAUUAAUAUAUAUUCAGAAAUUUUGAAAGUCAUUGGGGGGCAGAGAUAGUAGUACGCAAGGUCACUCGUGUUUGUGUUUAUUUAAAUUUUAAAUCUCUUAGUGAAAAAAUUCACAACCGAAUCUUAAUAAAGUAUUGAAGAGAUUAUUCCACACUAACUAAACUCCCUUACAUUCUUUGUUGUUUUUUUCGGGAACAACUUUUAUAGCCUAUUUGGUCAAGUUUCUCCUAGUUCAAAAGCAUUUUUUUUAAAAAAAAAUAUUUUUUUCUGAAUUUGAAGUGUUUGACCAAUCUUUUAGGAGAAAAAAGUAUUUUUAAGGAGAAGCAGAAGCAGUUUUAAAGAAGCGGAAAAAAAUAGCUUCUUCGCAGAAGCACUUUUUGGAGAAACACUUUUGAGAAAAAUACACUUAGAACCACUUUUUAAAAGCUUGGCUAAACAUCAAUUGAUGCUUAGAAAUACUUUUUAAAUUAAUUAUCCAAAUACAAACUGCUUCUCACUAUUAAUUUGCUUUAGAUGUCUCUUAAGAGAAGCUAAUAAGGAGACGUGGCCUCCAAAUUAGCAAAAGAAAAUGAGAUAAUUUGCAAAAAAUCCCACGCCACAAAAUUAUCCUUUUUUCCCAAGGCUUGUAGCCGAGCAUUUCCAUAUAAAAUAAGGUAAUAACAAAUCAUAUUCUCGUAUCUCUCCAGUAAAUUCAAUCAAAUGGCAGUUCUUACUCAAGAGCAACCACAUUUUGUGUUGUUUCCUUUUAUGGCACAAGGCCAUAUGAUACCUAUGAUAGACAUAGCUCGAUUAUUGGCGCAACGAGGUGUUAUUAUCACAAUUCUUUUAACACCCUCAAAUGCCAAUAGAUUCAAUACAGUCAUUGCCCGCGCUAUAGAAACAGGACUAAAAAUUCAAGUAAUUGACCUCUAUUUUCCAAGCUCAGAAGCAGGGCUACCAGAAGGGUGCGAGAACUGCGACAUGCUUGCAUCUAUAGAUAUGAUGAAGAAUUUCUUUCUUGCUGCUCAAAUGCUUGAGUCGCAAGUGGUAGACUUGUUGCAAGAAUUGAAUCCAUUACCAAGUUGUUUAAUUUCCGAUAUGUGUUUUCCUUGGACAACUAAUGUUGCCAAAAAUAUUAACAUUCCUCGGAUUGUUUUUCAUGGGAUGUGUAGCUUUUCUUUAUUGUGUUUACACAAUUUAAGAGGUGUUGGAAAAUGUUAAUUCGGAUAAUGAGUAUUUUUCAGUGCCUGGUUUUCCGGACAAAGUUGAACUGACCAAAGCUCAACUAAAAACCUUGGUUGAUCCAAGCAAUUCGGAAUGGGAAGAAUUUUUGGGCAAACAGAAGAAGGCAGAAGAUGAAGCUUAUGGGAUAGUGGUGAAUAGCUUUGAGGAGUUGGAACCAGAAUAUGUAAAAGCAUUGAAAAACGCCAAAGGUAAUUUUGAACUGUUAAAGUAUGCGACAAUCUUAUCUAAACACUUAUACAAGAAAGAUCAUAGUAUUAAUUAAUUAAUUAAUUAAUAAUAGUAUGUCUUAUUGUGCUUGCCUGAAUCGAGGUUUUAGUAGAAACAACCUCUAUAACUGCACAAGGUAGAAAGUAAUUAAGGUAUGCAUACAUACUAUCAUCUCCAGACCCUACAUAGGAGAAUACACCGGGUAUAUUGUUGUUGCUGUUGUGAUUUAUAUUAUAUCUCAAUUUUCAUGGAUCAAACACAUCAAAAUAAUAUUCUUUCCUUACGGAUGGUGUCAUAUUUGAAUCCACGGUCUGUACUUCGUCUAAUAUCACAUUGAAUUGUGUGGUCAUCAAAUCUUAUAGUUUAAUAUUGAUAGACAAACGCACUUUUAAUUACAUAAUUAUAUUAUAUCACCCAUAACCACCGCUUACUUUAAUAUCAUAUUGAAUUGCGUGACAUUUUUUUAAAAGUUUAAGUUGUUAAAAAAAAAACUUUUUUUAAUUACAUUACUACGUUAUGUCUCAACACAUGUGGUUUGGUUUUUUUUCAUAGGCUAAGCACGUGAAAAUUUUUGUUAUUUCUGGGUGGUAGUGAGAUUUGAAAGCAUGACCUAUACGUGCUCUAAUAUUAUGUUGAAUUGUGUGAUGAUCUUAUUUAAAAGCUUAAAUUAUUAGAAGGAGCAUACUUUUAAUUAAUAAAUUAUAUUAUGUCUCGAACAGGCAAGAAGUUUGGACAAUUGGUCCUGUUUCCCUGUGCAACAAAGAGAAACAAGACAAAGCAGAAAGUGGAAGCAAAGCCUCAAUAGAUGAACACCACUGCCUGAAAUGGCUAGAUUCUAAGGAACCAAACUCUGUCCUCUUUGUUUGUCUUGGAAGUUUAUCGCGCUUGCGAACAUCACAAAUGAUAGAACUUGGACUUGGAUUAGAGUCAUCUGAACGACCUUUCAUUUGGGUUGUUACACACAUCUCAGAUGAAUUUAGAAAAUGGCUAAAUGAAGAGAAUUUUGAGGAAAGAGUUAAAGAACAUGGGAUUUUAAUCCAUGGUUGGGCCCCACAAGUACUAAUAUUAUCACACCCUUCUGUCGGGGGAUUCUUGACACACUGUGGAUGGAAUUCGAGCAUAGAAGGAAUAUCUGCUGGCGUGCCAAUGAUUACUUGGUCAUUAUUUGCUGAGCAAUUUUGUAAUGAGAGGCUAAUUACGAAUGUUCUCAAGACAGGAGUAAAGUCUGGCAUAGAGAAUCCUGUUAUGUUUUUCGAGGAGGAAAAAGUGGAAACACAAAUGAAUAAAGAUGACAUUAAGAUGGUUAUUGAAAGAUUAAUGGGUGAAGAAGAGGAAGCAGAAAUGAGAAGAGAAAGAGCUAAAAAGCUUGGAGAAAUUGCAAGAAAGGCUGUGGAGGAAGGGGGUUCCUCUUACCUAAACUUGACGAAACUAAUACAAGAUGUCAAAGAGCAAGCUAAUUUUGGAAAAUCUAUUUGAAGUCUAAUAUUUGAUUAGGAUAAUGCAAUAUACUGCAUACAUAUUUCAUUUGAAGCUUUAGCAAACUGUUAAUGAUACAGAAUGUUUUGUUUACAAUCUAUAGUGGGCGUUGUCUAUUUCCAUUUUGACGGGCACUUUCGCCUUUGUUUUACCCACGGCAUAUUAAUGCGGUGGCAAAUUGCAGCAUGGAAAUAUAGAGAUAGUCCAAUCUGCAAUAUGUGGACUUCAAGAUAAGGUUUUUGGGAAGCUAUAUGAAAUCAGCAGCAGAUCGAGGAUUUCACAAGAAUGGAGGCACUAUUAUGAAUAGACGGAUCCGUGAUUUACUUUUGAAAUUAUAAGCUAAGUUCAAGUCUUUUUAUUUUUUAAAAAUGUGAUUUCACACACACACACACACACACACACACAUAUAUAUAUAUAUAUAUAUAUAUAUAUAUAUAUAUAUAUAUAUAUAUAUAUAUAUAUAUUAGUUGAACCAUUGAUUAAAAAACAAGAAUGGAGAUUUCAUGUCAACCUUGGGGAUUUCGACAUAAUAAACCAAAUAGAGAAAGAAAGACCAAAAAAAAA